RNAcentral lists this transfer RNA (75 nucleotides) under bacterium. RNAcentral's name for it is "tRNA-Glu". It matches the Rfam family "tRNA". Rfam says of the family: Transfer RNA (tRNA) molecules are approximately 80 nucleotides in length. RNAcentral also lists the same sequence under 3 other names. The record is from RNAcentral.
GGCCCUAUCGUCUAGGGGUUAGGACACCAGGUUUUCAUCCUGGCAGCCGGGGUUCGAAUCCCCGUAGGGCUACCA